Molecule: ribosomal RNA, 497 nt
Filed under: uncultured bacterium
Lineage: Bacteria
Description: partial 16S ribosomal RNA
Rfam family: Bacterial small subunit ribosomal RNA
Source: RNAcentral
GAUGAACGCUGGCGGCGUGCCUAAUACAUGCAAGUCGAGCGAACAGACGAGGAGCUUGCUCCUCUGACGUUAGCGGCGGACGGGUGAGUAACACGUGGAUAACCUACCUAUAAGACUGGGAUAACUUCGGGAAACCGGAGCUAAUACCGGAUAACAUGUUGAACCGCAUGGUUCAACAGUGAAAGACGGUCUUGCUGUCGCUUAUAGAUGGAUCCGCGCCGCAUUAGCUAGUUGGUAAGGUAACGGCUUACCAAGGCAACGAUGGCUAGCCGAACUGAGAGGGUUAUCCGCCACACUGGGACUGAGAAACGGUCCAGACUCCUAACGGGAGCAGCCGUAGGGAAUCCUCCGGCAUGGGCCAAAGCCUGACGGAGCAACGCCGCGUGAGUGAAGAAGGUCUUCGGAUCGUAAAACUCUGUUAUUAGGGAAGAACAAAUGUGUAAGUAACUAUGCACGUCUUGACGGUACCUAAUCAGAAAGCCACGGCUAACUACGUG